Molecule: long non-coding RNA, 702 nt
Organism: Oncorhynchus nerka (sockeye salmon)
Lineage: Eukaryota; Metazoa; Chordata; Actinopteri; Salmoniformes; Salmonidae
Exons: 2
Source: RefSeq, a predicted model, not a curated record
GUUUGGCAACAGCGCGAGUGUGAGAGGGAGAUGCCGGUGUGCUUCGCGGUAUACCGGAUCUUUUUUCUGUCGUUUUCUUGAAGAUCACUCCGCGACACACACGAUGCUGCGCUGUCGUUCAGCAGCAGAUGAUGCGCUGUCUGCGGCUGACUUGUCAUUCCCACUCGCAAUCACCGCUGUCAUCAAAUGGACUUAACGCUAGCAACAACUUCUGACUGAACUCAAUUAUCAUGAAACCCAUAUACAGCGAUGAGUUUCUUUCUCUUUCAUACGAACUUAUAACGAGGAGCGACCACAAUGUGUUUUGUGUGUGGAAGUGCUUAGUAAUGAGUCUCUCCAAACGAACGAAUUAAUAAAACGACGUGUCCUGACCAAACAUUCACAGCAUGAUGGUAAACCCAGGGAGUUCUUUGAGAACAGGGCAGAAUGCUUCAGGAAACAGUGCUUCGACAGUGGAAAAGCUCCCCCGCAUUGCGCACUUCCGCCAUCAUCAUUACGCACGCCAGCCUUCCCCCCGUCACGCUCAUCAGCGAUUACUGGACUCACCUGGACACAAUCACCUCUGUCAUUACCUUCCAUCUGUCUGGUUCCCCGCUCUGUUCCCUGCUUCAGCAUUAAUUGUCGUUUGUCGUUGUUUACCAGUGUGCUGACGCUGUUCCUGUUCUGUUACCUGUCUGUUCCUGAAUAAAUGUUGACUCCAUA